This 348-nucleotide unclassified non-coding RNA is filed under the name soil metagenome. Its description in RNAcentral is "partial contains 5.8S ribosomal RNA, internal transcribed spacer 2, and large subunit ribosomal RNA". The stretch from base 1 to 120 matches the Rfam family "5.8S ribosomal RNA", at positions 35 to 154 of the family's 154-position model. The record is from RNAcentral.
GAUGAAGAACGCAGCGAAAUGCGAUAAGUAAUGUGAAUUGCAGAAUUCAGUGAAUCAUCGAAUCUUUGAACGCACAUUGCGCCCGCCAGUAUUCUGGCGGGCAUGCCUGUCUGAGCGUCAUUUCAACCCUCAUGCCCCUAGGGCGUGGUGUUGGGGAUCGGCCAAAGCCCGCGAGGGACGGCCGGCCCCUAAAUCUAGUGGCGGACCCGUCGUGGCCUCCUCUGCGAAGUAGUGAUAUUCCGCAUCGGAGAGCGAUGAGCCCCUGCCGUUAAACCCCCAACUUUCCAAGGUUGACCUCAGAUCAGGUAGGAAUACCCGCUGAACUUAAGCAUAUCAAUAAGCAGAGGA